AGUGAACGCUGGCGGUAGGCCUAACACAUGCAAGUCGAACGGCAGCACAGUAAGAGCUUGCUCUUACGGGUGGCGAGUGGCGGACGGGUGAGGAAUACAUCGGAAUCUACUUUUUCGUGGGGGAUAACGUAGGGAAACUUACGCUAAUACCGCAUACGACCUACGGGUGAAAGCAGGGGAUCUUCGGACCUUGCGCGAUUGAAUGAGCCGAUGUCGGAUUAGCUAGUUGGCGGGGUAAAGGCCCACCAAGGCGACGAUCCGUAGCUGGUCUGAGAGGAUGGUCGGCCACACUGGAACUGGGCCACGGUCCAGACUCCUACGGGAGGCAGCAGUGGGGAAUAUUGGACAACAGGCGCAAGCCUUAUCCAGCCAUACCGCGUGGGUGAAGAAGGCCUUCGGGUUGUAAAGACCUUUUUUUGGGAAAGAAAAGCAGCAGGUUAAUACCCCGCUGUUCUGACGGUACCCAAAGAAUAAGCACCGGCUAACUUCGUG
RNAcentral lists this ribosomal RNA (492 nucleotides) under uncultured bacterium. Its description in RNAcentral is "partial 16S ribosomal RNA". It matches the Rfam family "Bacterial small subunit ribosomal RNA", at positions 29 to 507 of the family's 1533-position model. The record is from RNAcentral.